UACGAAGGGGGCUAGCGUUGCUCGGAUUUACUGGGCGUAAAGCGUGCGCAGGCGGUUUUGUAAGUCUGUCGUGAAAGCCCCGGGCUCAACCUGGGAAUUGCGAUGGAGACUGCAAGGCUUGAAUCUGGCAGAGGGGGGUAGAAUUCCACGUGUAGCAGUGAAAUGCGUAGAGAUGUGGAGGAACACCGAUGGCGAAGGCAGCCCCCUGGGUCAAGAUUGACGCUCAUGCACGAAAGCGUGGGGAGCAAACAGG
This 253-nucleotide ribosomal RNA is filed under the name uncultured bacterium. RNAcentral's name for it is "partial 16S ribosomal RNA". It matches the Rfam family "Bacterial small subunit ribosomal RNA", at positions 524 to 776 of the family's 1533-position model. The record is from RNAcentral.